AUACGGAGGGAGCGAGCGUUAAUCGGAAUUACUGGGCGUAAAGCGCGCGUAGGCGGCUUUGUCAGUCGGAUGUGAAAGCCCUGGGCUUAACCUGGGAAUGGCAUUCGAUACUGCAGAGCUAGAGUAUGAUAGAGGGAAGUGGAAUUUCCGGUGUAGCGGUGAAAUGCGUAGAUAUCGGAAGGAACACCAGUGGCGAAGGCGACUUCCUGGGCCAAUACUGACGCUGAGGUGCGAAAGCGUGGGGAGCAAACAGAAUUAGAAACCCCAGUAGUCC
RNAcentral lists this ribosomal RNA (274 nucleotides) under uncultured bacterium. Its description in RNAcentral is "partial 16S ribosomal RNA". It matches the Rfam family "Bacterial small subunit ribosomal RNA", at positions 523 to 796 of the family's 1533-position model. The record is from RNAcentral.